This 76-nucleotide transfer RNA is filed under the name Chloroflexota bacterium. RNAcentral describes it as "Chloroflexi bacterium tRNA-Pro". Lineage: Bacteria; Bacillati; Chloroflexota. The record is from RNAcentral.
CGGGGCAUGGCGCAGCUUGGUGGCAGCGCUUCAAUGGGGUUGAAGAGGUCGUGGGUUCCGAAUCCCGCUGCCCCGA